Molecule: non-coding RNA, 246 nt
Organism: Vicia faba (fava bean)
Lineage: Eukaryota; Viridiplantae; Streptophyta; Magnoliopsida; Fabales; Fabaceae
Source: the annotation of a GenBank genome assembly
AUGUUGCACGAAAUCCAGAGAUUUGGCUGGCUGAAAUAUGUUGAAGAGGAUAACUUAGAGAUGAAGAUUACAAAUCUGAAACGCAAAUUUGAGAAGUUUGGAGAAACGAUUUCAGAGAGAGUGAGAAUUUUCUGGGUUGCGGGUUUAUGUUUAUAUAUGGAUGCAAGGUUCGGUAUUUGUAAAGAGCAACAUGAAGCAUGGUGUAAAGCUGGAAUAGUUAAAGAGAAAUGGUGCUUCAAGACUUAG